Long non-coding RNA from Homo sapiens (human), 577 nucleotides. The record is from Ensembl. Lineage: Eukaryota; Metazoa; Chordata; Mammalia; Primates; Hominidae.
GAACUGUAAACCAACUGCCAAACACCCCAACAUGCACUCACAGCAAAUGGGCUAGAUAAUUCAUUCAGCCCCCAAGUAGGGCGUACUCCACAAUGACCACUUCAGAUGUGGCCAUGGAGGAUGCUGAACAAAGAAGAACUAUCCAGUGUGUGACGCCAGGGAGCCACCACUAACAAUAGCUUCAUGCCAAUGAAUCAUCCCUCAGUUGAGGACGACGUGCCUGCAGAGAUUCAUCAAGACUGCUCCAGCUCGUGAUUGGAAAGGGAGAGAAAGAAAUGCUGGGACAUCCAGCUGUCACACAGCUAACCGGAAAGCCAUGUGGUCAAACAGAGGCACAUUGGAGCUCUUAGGUGGAAAAAUGGGUGCCCACUUAAAAGCUACACAACCUGGAACACGGUGUCAGGACACUUUAAUUCUUUCUCCUCCUGUCCUCAUCUGGUAGCCUCAUGCAAUUCAGAGGAAACACAAAGCGGAGCAUUCCCAAAGGGCUCACAUUGUUUGGGAUUUGUCCACGUUGACUCUUCAGGCUGCAGUUGCAUUUGCUGGAUACCUGCUAUGUGCCAAAUCUCAUCUCCCU